Molecule: long non-coding RNA, 1140 nt
Organism: Daktulosphaira vitifoliae (grape phylloxera)
Lineage: Eukaryota; Metazoa; Arthropoda; Insecta; Hemiptera; Phylloxeridae
Exons: 3
Source: RefSeq, a predicted model, not a curated record
AAUGGAGUUUGUGUGCAAGUACUGCAAUCGCACGUUCAACAAACACUAUUCGCUGCUCAUCCACGAACGCAAUCAUCUGCCUACCGUGAGCUACCGGUGUGAGAUGUGCUACAAGUCGUUCAAAAGGCAAGACAGCUUACAACAACACAGAUGUGGCCAUUCAAGGUGAACUGCGGAUUCUUCAAGACAACCCCUCUAAAACCUACCUAAUAAAAAAAAAAAAAAAAAAAAAAAAAAAAAAAAACCNAAAAAAAAAAAAAAAACAAAAAACAAAAACCUAUCUAUUAUACUGUAGGCCACAUUUCUAACUGAUUAUAUCGACCCAUAGUCCGAAUUACAGAGCUGGGUACGCAUUGCAGCUUUGAAAAAAAAUUGUGAUAUGCUAAACUAUUAGCUAACUGUUGUAUUGUAUUGUAUAUGUAUAUAGAGACUAACUAGGUAGUUUAUAAGUAAGUUAUAUAACUAAUAAUAUUAGAUUUUGAGCAGACUGGUCAGUUUUUAAGUUUGUUAGUUCACUAAAAAUAAUUAGAUGAACAAAAAAAAAAAAACUUUUUAAACAAUUAAAAUGUUAUUCGAUUAAUAAUUUAUUAACAUUAUGACAUGUUGUAUGUUAAGUAAUUUAAUAGAUGUGUCAUGUUACAAAAAAAAUAAAUAUUAUCCUAAUAUAUAAAUCUUGUGUGACACUAUUAUUGUUUAAAAUGUAUUAAUAAUACUUGUACAUUAGUUUUGUAUAGGGGAAUAUAUUUUUUAAAAAGUAUAAAGAUUUUAUAUGUUAAAAAAUAAGUUCAAAAUAUCCCCGAGCGAAUUUUUUCUUAGAAUGUUCCUUAAAAAUUUCUUAUUUGAAAUUCGCGGUCUCGGCAAAUUGCAAUUUAGGAAUUAUAAUUUUUAAGUAUAUGUUAAACACUCUGAGAAAAAUGCGUCUAGCCUACAAAAGACAUAUAUUACCAUUUAAGGCAAGAAACAUGUUAUUGUUUUUAAAGCAUAUUUAAUUAUAUGAAUUACUAGUUAAUAUAAUAUGUCACAUUUUGUAAAUAUGUAACCAGUUAUUGUUAGCCAUUAUUAGAUAUUUAAAAAUUUUAAUUUGUAUGUAUCAUAGUAUGUGUGUGUUGAUUAAAAAAAUAUAAUUUAUUUGUACAUACA